UACGGAGGGUGCGAGCGUUGUCCGGAAUCACUGGGCGUAAAGGGCGCGUAGGCGGCCUGAUAAGUAGGGGGUGAAAUCCUGCGGCUUAACCGCAGGGCUGCCUUCUAAACUGUCAGGCUCGAGCACAGUAGAGGCAGGUGGAAUUCCCGGUGUAGCGGUGGAAUGCGUAGAGAUCCGGAAGAACACCGGUGGCGAAGGCGGUUAGCUGGGCAGUAGCUGACACUGAGCGCGACA
This 234-nucleotide ribosomal RNA is filed under the name uncultured bacterium. Its description in RNAcentral is "partial 16S ribosomal RNA". It matches the Rfam family "Bacterial small subunit ribosomal RNA", at positions 524 to 758 of the family's 1533-position model. The record is from RNAcentral.